CGAGAGAGUCCAGUGCAAACAUUUCCAUCGACGGAAUCUUGACGACAUAGCACCACCAAUGCCCGUCAUGGACAAUUGGGACAAACAACUACAAAAACUUGUGUGUCAAAAAGUUUACAAUAAAUCAACUACAUUGUGUCAAACUACAUUGUGUAACAUUUAAUUCCACUCACAAAUUCAACAUUAAUUAUGUCCUCAAACCCAAUGAUCUGGG
This 214-nucleotide long non-coding RNA is filed under the name Vigna radiata. Its description in RNAcentral is "long non-coding RNA (VRAD_LNC000370)". The record is from RNAcentral. Lineage: Eukaryota; Viridiplantae; Streptophyta; Magnoliopsida; Fabales; Fabaceae.